Molecule: transfer RNA, 83 nt
Filed under: Comamonas testosteroni TK102
Lineage: Bacteria; Pseudomonadati; Pseudomonadota; Betaproteobacteria; Burkholderiales; Comamonadaceae
Description: tRNA-Und (NNN) (tRNA-Und-NNN-2-1)
Source: RNAcentral
GCCGCAUGAAUCCUCAAUUCUUCGCGGGACUCAAAAUCCCCCGCCGCAAGGUGUGCCGGUUCGAUUCCGGCCCCGGGGCACCA